UUCCUACGGGACGCAGCAGUGAGGAAUAUUGGUCAAUGGGAGAGAUCCUGAACCAGCCAAGCCGCGUGAGGGAAGACGGCCCUAUGGGUUGUAAACCUCUUUUGUCGGAGAACAAAACACGGGACGAGUCCAGGACUGCGUGUAUCCGAAGAAAAAGCAUCGGCUAACUCGGUGACAGCAGCAGCGGUACUACGGAGGAUGCGAGCGUUAUCCGGAUUUAUUGGGUUUAAAGGGUGAGUAGGCGGUCCGUGAAGUCAGCGGUAAAAUUGCGGGGCUCAACCCCGUCG
This 287-nucleotide ribosomal RNA is filed under the name uncultured bacterium. Its description in RNAcentral is "partial 16S ribosomal RNA". It matches the Rfam family "Bacterial small subunit ribosomal RNA", at positions 336 to 620 of the family's 1533-position model. The record is from RNAcentral.